Molecule: transfer RNA, 90 nt
Filed under: Parachitinimonas caeni
Lineage: Bacteria; Pseudomonadati; Pseudomonadota; Betaproteobacteria; Neisseriales; Chitinibacteraceae
Description: tRNA-Ser
Rfam family: tRNA
About the family: Transfer RNA (tRNA) molecules are approximately 80 nucleotides in length. Their secondary structure includes four short double-helical elements and three loops (D, anti-codon, and T loops). Further hydrogen bonds mediate the characteristic L-shaped molecular structure. tRNAs have two regions of fundamental functional importance: the anti-codon, which is responsible for specific mRNA codon recognition, and the 3' end, to which the tRNAs corresponding amino acid is attached (by aminoacyl-tRNA synthetases). tRNAs cope with the degeneracy of the genetic code in two manners: having more than one tRNA (with a specific anti-codon) for a particular amino acid; and 'wobble' base-pairing, i.e. permitting non-standard base-pairing at the 3rd anti-codon position.
Source: RNAcentral
GGAAGAUUGGCCGAGAGCCUAAGGCUCUCGCCUGCUAAGCGAGAGUCCCUAUCAGGGGGCACGCGGGUUCGAAUCCCGCAUCUUCCGCCA